GAGUUUGAUCCUGGCUCAGGAUGAACGCUGGCGGCGUGCCUAAUACAUGCAAGUCGAGCGAACAGAUAAGGAGCUUGCUCCUUUGACGUUAGCGGCGGACGGGUGAGUAACACGUGGGUAACCUACCUAUAAGACUGGAAUAACUCCGGGAAACCGGGGCUAAUGCCGGAUAAUAUUUAGAACCGCAUGGUUCUAAAGUGAAAGGUGGUUUUGCUAUCACUUAUAGAUGGACCCGCGCCGUAUUAGCUAGUUGGUGGGGUAAUGGCUUACCAAGGCAACGAUACGUAGCCGACCUGAGAGGGUGAUCGGCCACACUGGAACUGAGACACGGUCCAGACUCCUACGGGAGGCAGCAGUAGGGAAUCUUCCGCAAUGGGCGAAAGCCUGACGGAGCAACGCCGCGUGAGUGAUGAAGGUCUUCGGAUCGUAAAACUCUGUUAUUAGGGAAGAACAAAUGUGUAAGUAACUGUGCACGUCUUGACGGUACCUAAUCAGAAAGCCACGGCUAACUACGUGCCAG
RNAcentral lists this ribosomal RNA (520 nucleotides) under uncultured bacterium. Its description in RNAcentral is "bacterial SSU rRNA". It matches the Rfam family "Bacterial small subunit ribosomal RNA", at positions 9 to 511 of the family's 1533-position model. The record is from RNAcentral.